Molecule: long non-coding RNA, 413 nt
Organism: Peromyscus eremicus (cactus mouse)
Lineage: Eukaryota; Metazoa; Chordata; Mammalia; Rodentia; Cricetidae
Exons: 3
Source: RefSeq, a predicted model, not a curated record
CAAUGUCUGCGCAGCCAGGCUGAGCCGCACCAAUGAGAGGCCAGGGCCAGCCCCCUCCGGAACUACGCGACGGGACCUGACCGGCCGAGGGAGAAAACCGGGAGGGGCUUUGGCCGAGCAAGGAGGCCCCAUCACAAGUGAGGGCACACACGCAGCAGAGCCUUAGAGUGAGAUUACCAUCUGCCCAGGAAACCACCACAUGACAAGACCCCAGAGGCAUAGGGAGAGAAAAGGCUUUGGAAGCCCCACAUUCAGAGUCUGGGCCAAACUAAGCCCAGGAGAAAAGAUGUUGACAAAAACAGGCCGGGACAAGCCUCACCUCCAAAACACAGCCCACCGGGUCCUCCGGGAGCCACCGAGAAGCGGUCGGCGUGCGGCCAGAGAGUCACCGCGAGAUUCCUCCUGCUAACUCC